Long non-coding RNA from Tupaia belangeri chinensis (Chinese tree shrew), 294 nucleotides. RefSeq lists it as uncharacterized. The record is from RefSeq and is a predicted model, not a curated record. Lineage: Eukaryota; Metazoa; Chordata; Mammalia; Scandentia; Tupaiidae. The transcript is spliced from 3 exons.
CUCAAGACUGCUUCUGACUAGGAGUAAACAAUCCUUAAUGUGGAUUAGACGUGUGAUGGGAUUUAAAGAGGCACUCUAAGAGGAUAUGUCCCAACCGAAGAAAGAUAGCCACGUGAAGACUGAGACACACAGGGAGCAUACCAUGGCACUACAAAGGCAGAGAUUGGAGUUGUGCAGCUACAAGUCAAGGAACACCAAGUUUGCCAGCAAACUUCCUGUAGCUAGGGGGAUAAAAAGGCAAUUUACUUCCUCAGUAAUAUUGUUUCGAAGGACCACACUAAGGGCACCCCACAG